AGUGAACGCUGGCGGUAGGCCUAACACAUGCAAGUCGAACGGCAGCACAGGAGAGCUUGCUCUCUGGGUGGCGAGUGGCGGACGGGUGAGGAAUACAUCGGAAUCUACUUUUUCGUGGGGGAUAACGUAGGGAAACUUACGCUAAUACCGCAUACGACCUGCGGGUGAAAGCAGGGGACCUUCGGGCCUUGCGCGAUUGAAUGAGCCGAUGUCGGAUUAGCUAGUUGGCGGGGUAAAGGCCCACCAAGGCGACGAUCCGUAGCUGGUCUGAGAGGAGGAUCAGCCACACUGGAACUGAGACACGGUCCAGACUCCUACGGGAGGCAGCAGUGGGGAAUAUUGGACAAUGGGCGCAAGCCUGAUCCAGCCAUACCGCGCGGGUGAAGAAGGCCUUCGGGUUGUAAAGCCCUUUUGUUGGGAAAGAAAUCCAGCUGGCUAAUACCCGGUUGGGAUGACGGUACCCAAAGAAUAAGCACCGGCUAACUUCGUGCCAGCCGCCGCUGUAA
RNAcentral lists this ribosomal RNA (506 nucleotides) under uncultured bacterium. Its description in RNAcentral is "partial 16S ribosomal RNA". It matches the Rfam family "Bacterial small subunit ribosomal RNA", at positions 29 to 523 of the family's 1533-position model. The record is from RNAcentral.